Molecule: long non-coding RNA, 2272 nt
Filed under: Marmota monax (woodchuck)
Lineage: Eukaryota; Metazoa; Chordata; Mammalia; Rodentia; Sciuridae
Source: RNAcentral
AGCAAAUGGGACUGUGUUCUGAUGACACAAGAACAAAGAAAUAAGACAUUGGGACAAAAAAGAGACACAGCUGAGCACAGUGGCCCAUACCUGUAAUCCCAGUGCUCAGGAGGCUGAGGCAGGAGGUCUACAAAUGCAAGGCCAGCCUCAUCAACUUUACAAGACCCAGACUCAAAAUUUAAAAAAAGAAAGAAAAGGGCCGUGCUGGGGAUGCAGUUCAGUGGCUGAGUGCCCCUGAGUGCCAUCCCCAAUACAAAAAAAAAAAAAGAAAAAAAUUGCAGGAGUGUGGGGCGUGGCCACAGGCAUCUCAGCAAGAGGAAUCUCAAGUGACCAAUAAACAUAUAAAAAGUUGCUCAACCUCCUAGUCUUCAUUGAGGAAUGCAAAUAAAACCCAGGAAAAGAUGCAAAUUCGACCCUAUCUGAUGAGCAAAAAAAGUCUGAUAAAAAAAAAAAAUUCUUGCAAGUGCUGGCACACAGAAGAACACCCUACACUGCCAGUGGGGGUGGGAAUGGAUGCAGCCACCUGGGAGGUCAGCCUAGCACUCUUGGGCCCAUUUCAACCUGUAAUCUGUCUCCUUGGGACACUCCUUACAGCAGUUCUCACAAGUGCGCCACAGAAAACAUUUUUAAAUGGUUCAGAGCAACAAUCUUUAUAAAACCUAAAACUGGAAACAUCCCCCAAAUCCAGUACUGUGUUCUGAGGCGGGCAAGUAAAGCCUAGAAUAGUCACAGACUGGGUUAUUAUACAAAACUGGAAUGGAGGCCUGGGGUGGUGGCUCAGUGGCAGAGCGCUUGCGUAGCAUGGGUGAGGCACUGGGUUCAAAUCUCAGCACUGCGUAUAAAUAAUAAAUGAAAUAAAGGUCCAUCAACAACUAACAACAACAACAAAACUGAAAUGGAAUGAGCUACAGUGCACAGAACACCUCCAAUAAUCUAUCGGCAUAAUGUUGAACAAAGGGAACAAGAAUGCCAACCGCGUAAUCCCACUUCUACAGUUCAGAACCAGGAAGAGCUACACAUCAUGUUCUAUGAGGAUGGUGGAACUAAAGAGAAACUAAGGAAAAAAUCACUGCAGAGAUCAGAAUAGUGAUUUUGGGCAGAGAGGUGAGCACCAACACGCAGAGGAACCUGCAGUCCUGGCCCUGUGCCCUGACUUAAUUUGGAAGCUGACUGUGUGGGCUUUAGAAUUCUUCUUCUUGUCAAAAUACUUAUAUGCUAUACACAUUUAUGUAUAUAUUAUGUAUCAUAUUGCAACAAUUCAAUUAAAUCUAAAAGAUAUAGUUCUGAAACUGUAGUCAGGAACCAGACACUACAAGGCACUUUGGGUAUAUUGAAGGAUUUUUUUUUUUAAGAGAGAGAGAGAGAGAGAAUUUUAAUAUUUAUUUUUUAGUUAUCGGCGGACACAACAUCUUUUGUUUGUACGUGGUGCUGAGGAUCAAACCCGGGCCGCACGCAUGCCAGGCAAGCGCGCUACCACUUGAGCCACAUCCCCAGCCCUAUGUUGAAGGAUUUUUGUCAUUAUCUAAAAGUAUCAGGUAGUUGAGAGAAAACUGGAGCUGAAAUACUAAGAUUAACUAGGGAAGAUUGCCCCUAAAUAAUGAUAAUGAACUUGCUGUUGCUGAGUCUGGCUUGAACUCGUGAUCCUCCUGCCUCAGCCUCCUGAGCCACUGGGAUCACAAUUGUGCACCACCAUGCCCGGACUAGAAAAAGGAUUUUGUGAGCAAGAAAGAAGUAGGGAAGUGGACAUUGGAUGAGUGACUAACAGGUUGUCCUCACCAGCUACAAUCAAACUGGAAGGCUGAGUAAAACCAUUUUGCAGACAAGCUGGAUCUCUGAAAAUGUCCCUCCUGAGCACCCUUUGUUAGAGAUCAUUUGAGAAUCACCUUCAGGGCUGGGAAACAGCUGAGUUGGUAGAGUGCUAUGCCUAACAUGCACAAAGCCCUGGGUUCAAUCCCUAGCACCACCCAAAAAAAAAAAGAAUCACCUUCGACAAAAUGGAACUGUAGCCCUGUGGGGUGUGGUGGCAUUCCCUGUAAUCCCAGUGGCUUGGAAGGCUGAGGCAGGAGGAUCCUUAGUCCAAGCCAGCCUCAGCAACUUGGUGAGGCUCUGAGUAACUUAGUGAGACUCUAUCUUCAAAUUAAAAAUUUAAAAAGGGCUGGGGAUGUGGCUCAGUGGUUAAGUGAAUCUGGGUUCAAUCCCUGAUUCCAAAAAAGAAGAAAAUGGGCUGCGGUUGUGGCUCCGUGGUAGAGCACUCGCCUAGCAUAUGUGACAC